RNAcentral lists this long non-coding RNA (281 nucleotides) under Panax ginseng (ginseng). RNAcentral describes it as "long non-coding RNA (PGIN_LNC006910)". The record is from RNAcentral. Lineage: Eukaryota; Viridiplantae; Streptophyta; Magnoliopsida; Apiales; Araliaceae.
CUAUUUUGGGGGCGUCACAGUUGGUAUCAAAGUUUAGGGAUAUGAUCCCUGGCUGAGAUGUGAGACAAGAACUAGGAGGGGAGAGACGGGGUAUUCCUUCGCUAGUAUGACCUACCUGAGUUUAAUUGGUAUUUAAUUGGUCAGUCAGAAUAUAGGGAUAAUAUGUGAUAUGUUAAUUUGUUUAAUUAACCCUUGUUUUGUGACAGUAUUUGAGAAUGACAUCUAAAAUUUUUGAGAUGUGCAAUGGAGCAAAACAAUAUGAACGUGUCGCAAUACGAAGC